This 482-nucleotide ribosomal RNA is filed under the name uncultured bacterium. RNAcentral describes it as "partial 16S ribosomal RNA". It matches the Rfam family "Bacterial small subunit ribosomal RNA", at positions 30 to 507 of the family's 1533-position model. The record is from RNAcentral.
AUUGAACGCUGGCGGCAUGCCUUACACAUGCAAGUCGAACGGUAACAGGUCUUCGGAUGCUGACGAGUGGCGAACGGGUGAGUAAUACAUCGGAACGUGCCCGAUCGUGGGGGAUAACGAGGCGAAAGCUUUGCUAAUACCGCAUACGAUCUACGGAUGAAAGCGGGGGAUCUUCGGACCUCGCGCGGACGGAGCGGCCGAUGGCAGAUUAGGUAGUUGGUGGGAUAAAAGCUUACCAAGCCGACGAUCUGUAGCUGGUCUGAGAGGAUGAUCAGCCACACUGGGACUGAGACACGGCCCAGACUCCUACGGGAGGCAGCAGUGGGGAAUUUUGGACAAAGGGCGAAAGCCUGAUCCAGCCAUGCCGCGUGCAGGAUGAAGGCCCUCGGGUUGUAAACUGCUUUUGUACGGAACGAAAAGCCUCUUUCUAAUAAAGAGGGGUCAUGACGGUACCGUAAGAAUAAGCACCGGCUAACUACGUG